AUUGAACGCUGGCGGCAGGCCUAACACAUGCAAGUCGAGCGGAUGAAGGGAGCUUGCUCCUGGAUUCAGCGGCGGACGGGUGAGUAAUGCCUAGGAAUCUGCCUGGUAGUGGGGGAUAACGUCCGGAAACGGGCGCUAAUACCGCAUACGUCCUGAGGGAGAAAGUGGGGGAUCUUCGGACCUCACGCUAUCAGAUGAGCCUAGGUCGGAUUAGCUAGUUGGUGGGGUAAAGGCCUACCAAGGCGACGAUCCGUAACUGGUCUGAGAGGAUGAUCAGUCACACUAGAACUGAGACACGGUCCAGGCUCCUACGGGAGGCAGCAGUGGGGAAUAGUGGACAAUGGGCGAAAGCCUGGUCCAGCCAUGCCGCGUGUGUGAAGAAGGUCUUCGGAUUGUAAAGCACUUUAAGUUGGGAGGAAGGGCAGUAAGUUAAUACCUUGCUGUUUUGACGUUACCAACAGAAUAAGCACCGGCUAACUUCGUG
This 484-nucleotide ribosomal RNA is filed under the name uncultured bacterium. Its description in RNAcentral is "partial 16S ribosomal RNA". It matches the Rfam family "Bacterial small subunit ribosomal RNA", at positions 30 to 507 of the family's 1533-position model. The record is from RNAcentral.